UAGGGAAUAUUGGGCAAUGGGCGAAAGCCUGACCCAGCGACGCCGCGUGGGCGAUGAAGGCCUUCGGGUUGUAAAGCCCUGUCAUGCGGAAAGAACGACCCUGUGACGCAUACUCACAGGGAGUGACGGUACCGCAGGAGGAAGCACCGGCUAACUCCGUGCCAGCAGCCGCGGUAAUACGGAGGGUGCAAGCGUUGUUCGGAAUUAUUGGGCGUAAAGGGCGCGUAGGCGGUAAUGCAAGUCAGAUGUGAAAUACUCCGGCUCAACUGGGGAACUGCAUCUGAAACUGCAUAACUAGAGUACAGAAGAGGGAAACGGAAUUCCCGGUGUAGAGGUGAAAUUCGUAGAUAUCGGGAGGAACACCAGUGGCGAAGGCGGUUUCCUGGUCUGAUACUGACGCUGAGGCGCGAAAGCGUGGGGAGCGAACA
This 428-nucleotide ribosomal RNA is filed under the name uncultured prokaryote. RNAcentral describes it as "bacterial SSU rRNA". It matches the Rfam family "Bacterial small subunit ribosomal RNA", at positions 355 to 774 of the family's 1533-position model. The record is from RNAcentral.